GUUUAUCCUUUCAAUCACGGCUUUGGAGCCCAAGGAAGAGGCUUUCUGCCCUAAUAUGUGACGCUGAGGCCUAAAAAGAAUGCUUUGGGCCCUAAAAAUGAGAGCCUGGGUCCAAAACCAGAGGGUGUAGGCGAUGAAAAGACAGUUGCAUCUCCGCUGGCUGCACUGCACUGUGGAGGGCGCCUUGUCAAAACCGAGGUGUCCCGUGUGGCCUGGUCACAGACAGGCGGUGCAGCAGGCUGUUGCUGUGACAGGGCAGCGUGGCCCACCUUCCUCUGGAUCCAAAAGUGAUGAUUUGUUGCCUCCAAAUUGGGGUUUGGACCUGCAAAGAAGGCUUUGGACCCUGAAAUUCAGGCCUCGGCUCCUAGCAUGAGGAUUUGGGAAUUUGAAAAGAAGGGGUGUUCCUCUCAAAUAAGGCCUCGCCAUCUAAAAGGCUGCUGCUUUGCACCUUGCAAUGAAAGUGUGGACCCUAAAAAUAGGGCAUUGUGCCCUAAAAAUGGAUGCCUGGUCCAUAUGAGUGUGGCUGUAAGCAAGAAAAAGCUAG
Long non-coding RNA from Cygnus olor (mute swan), 544 nucleotides. RefSeq lists it as uncharacterized. The record is from RefSeq and is a predicted model, not a curated record. Lineage: Eukaryota; Metazoa; Chordata; Aves; Anseriformes; Anatidae. The transcript is spliced from 2 exons.